Bufo bufo (common toad) is the source of this 132-nucleotide long non-coding RNA. RefSeq lists it as uncharacterized. The transcript has 3 exons. The record is from RefSeq and is a predicted model, not a curated record. Lineage: Eukaryota; Metazoa; Chordata; Amphibia; Anura; Bufonidae.
CUAUCAAGAUGGAGAUCCUAGUGCUGGUCACAUGACACAGCUGAGGAUCAGAAGGGAGGUUAUAACUCACAAACACAAUCACUGGUAAGAAGAUUAUCUUCACUUCGGUUUACAUCAUGUAACUUUCUAACA